Molecule: ribosomal RNA, 364 nt
Filed under: uncultured bacterium
Lineage: Bacteria
Description: bacterial SSU rRNA
Rfam family: Bacterial small subunit ribosomal RNA
Source: RNAcentral
AGAGUUUGAUCCUGGCUCAGAACGAACGCUGGCGGCAUGCCUAACACAUGCAAGUCGAACGAGACCUUCGGGUCUAGUGGCGCACGGGUGCGUAACGCGUGGGAAUCUGCCCUUGGGUUCGGAAUAACAGCUAGAAAUGGCUGCUAAUACCGAAUAAUGACGUAAGUCCAAAGAUUUAUCGCCCAAGGAUGAGCCCGCGUAGGAUUAGCUAGUUGGUGAGGUAAAAGCUCACCAAGGCGACGAUCCUUAGCUGGUCUGAGAGGAUGAUCAGCCACACUGGGACUGAGACACGGCCCAGACUCCUACGGGAGGCAGCAGUGGGGAAUAUUGGACAAUGGGCGAAAGCCUGAUCCAGCAAUGCCGC